UCUUUUGCUUGGUUUCCCCAGCAGUAAGUGCUGUGUGCUCUGUUUGUGUGUGUGUAUGUGUGUGUCCAUGCCUGCUUCCCCCAAUGGCUUUCGAGCCUGCUGGCUUAUUUCAGCCAAGUUUGGCAGGGGAUGGAAGUUCAAAGACCAUGAAUUCCCCACCAUGAGCCCCAGCGUGGCAGAGGGAUGCAGGGAAGUGCUGCUGGCAGAUCCCCUGGUCCCUCUGGGGGUUGUGCUUGGGCAUGGCCUGCUCCUCCAGCCCACCCCAGGCUGAUGAGAUUUGUGCUAAAAAGGCAAAGUUGCUCCAAAGCAGCCGGGGGCCAUAUCUGCUUUCUAUGAAUUUCAGUGGGAAGAACCAGUGCUGGAAGUUGCUCACUGACCCAGUUCCAAAGCCCAGGGGAAGCAUGGGCCGUGGCACUCCGAGGGAGAGGAGGAGGCCAGGAGAGAGGCUGGCUCUGACCCUCACACCACGUAACAGCGCUGCGGAGCAGAGGCCAGGAUUUAUUGGUUUUCCCCCCUGUUGGUGAGGCUGUGAAGUCUCAAGUGUCUUGCUCUGGAGAAAGGAAAUUAAACCUGGAAUGGCUGGAUUGGAGGGAAAACCCCAUUUUUCCAUUACUUUCAAUAGCAUUUCAUUUCCCAGCUCCCCUGCGCUCUGCAGCCGGCACCGAGCACACCCCAGCCUCGGCACCUGCUGAAACCCUCACAAAACAACCCGUGACAGCAACAAACCCACAUCACCCAGCUGUCCUCCCACAGCCCGGGGAGGCCCAGGCUCUGGGCUCAGUGCUGGGCCAGGAAGGAGAUUUGCCUGUCUGAGGCUGAGCCCUGGGUCACAGAGCCAUUGGGGAUCCUGCUCCCGGCCACGGGGCUCUCACGUGCCCUGCAGCUUUCCCAUGGAUAUAAAUCCAUUAAUAAAAGAUCAGCGUGCACACAGCUCACUGAAGAUGAUAGCAUUAGAGGCACAUCAGCUUCUCCUAAGCACCAGUCUCGUGCUGGGUUUAUUUGGUCCAUUUGUGGCAGGGGAAGAGUUGCUUUCGGCGUUCAGAGAUGACUUGUGUCUGGGAGAAGUAGCAGGGUGAGUUAUAUUUUUGGCUCUAUUUAGCCACAAAAAUUUGGGUUUAGAAUAAAGAGAAAUAUUCCCGUUUGCUGCCAAACUGAGGCAGACGAUUUCUUGUGCAAGCCUUCGUUUGUUUGAGG
Passer montanus (Eurasian tree sparrow) is the source of this 1194-nucleotide long non-coding RNA. RefSeq lists it as uncharacterized. The record is from RefSeq and is a predicted model, not a curated record. The transcript has 4 exons. Lineage: Eukaryota; Metazoa; Chordata; Aves; Passeriformes; Passeridae.